Molecule: long non-coding RNA, 945 nt
Organism: Capsicum annuum
Lineage: Eukaryota; Viridiplantae; Streptophyta; Magnoliopsida; Solanales; Solanaceae
Exons: 2
Source: RefSeq, a predicted model, not a curated record
AGUGUAUUCCUAUGAAGUCGAGAAAAAAGAAAAUUUAACAAAAAAAAGUCAAACCCAAUAGGGUGUUGUCACACAUUACAUUCUAUCCCAAUCUCUCUAUUCAUAGCGUAUUCCAUCGGAGUGGAGAAUAUUUUAUUCUUUCUUCCUAAGUUUUUGUUAAUCUCAUCCAAAAUUCAAAGACUAGCUAAAAAUAAAUACCAAACCCUAAACCUAGUAGACUCUAUAAUUAGAAACCUUUAAGAAACUAAGGGAAGGAAGGGAUCCAAUCAUUAAGAAAUCAGUUGGAAGAAUCGUGAAGAAGCAGUUGUGAGACCCCUUUUUCCUUCUUCCAAAACCCUUGGAGCUAAGAAAGAAAGAAUAAUAGGAAAGAGCUCCAAAAACCAGCUCACACAAAAACAUCACAAACCACUCGAAAACACCAUGAAAUUCAUCUUUUAAUCUCUGUAAGCUUACUCUCAAUUGUUGUCGAGUUAGAAGUGAUCCAGACGAUCGAGCUUCGGUCGGUGGUCUUAUUGUUGGUGUAAAGUUGCGAAUUACCCUUUGUUUUCCACCGAAUUGAGUUAAUUGAAGGAAUUUUGGCUAUAAAGGUCUUUGAAAUAUAGGGUAGAAGGAAUGCAGUUUGGCAUCCUACUUUUAUUUUGAGAUAAAGUCAAAAGUGUCUUGGCACUUGGUGAAGGAUUAUUAGUCACACAUAUUAAGCAAGAUUGGAUCAGCAACGAAGACGAAUAGCACUGCUACCAAACAAGUUACCCCUCCCUGACUCGAGGUGUUCACUCGAGUAAGCCAGUUUAGACACCUCUCUAUCAAGUUACAUCUAGUAGAACUGAAUUCCAUAUGUAGCUAUCCCUAUUAAUCUUCACAUUAUCUGCAUCAUGUGCAUUUGACUUAGCGGGACUCGACAUACGGGUCGGGUCUAUCUAAGACAAGUAGCCUAUUAAAGACCAA